This is an RNA transcript of Agrilus planipennis (emerald ash borer), 1102 nucleotides long. It is a transcript of the gene named FGFR1 oncogene partner 2 homolog, with no coding region annotated. The record is from RefSeq and is a predicted model, not a curated record. The transcript is spliced from 6 exons. Lineage: Eukaryota; Metazoa; Arthropoda; Insecta; Coleoptera; Buprestidae.
UUGACAACAACUGUCAGCUGUAAAGAUAAAAAACUAUUUAUUUUGUAUUUGUAAUUAUUUUAAAAUAAAGGGGCAUAAGUGUAAACACAAAAUAAGAAAUAUGUGCAAAUAAAUCAUACAAACACUAAAGCUUUAAUAGUACAAUUGAAUUAUGGGUCUUCAUACCUAAUUUGAACAAAACAAUUAAUCAAUCAGAAUGUCGCUCACAAUUUCACAAAUUAUUGUUGACGCUAGACGGUUAGCCGAUCGUUUAAGAGAACGUGAUACCGUUGCUGAUAUUUUACUAAAUGAAACCCAUGCAGUUAGUAAGAAAAUAGAUGCAAUGAAACAGUACCAAGAAGAAGUAGAACAACUUAAUGAAGUUGCCCAUCAAAAACCCAACUCACAAUUAAUAGCAAACAUUCAGAAGGAAAAUAGGCAUUUACGAGAAAUACAACAGGAAAAUCGUGAAUUAAGAGCAGCCUUAGAGGAACAUCAGACAGCUUUAGAACAUAUUAUGUCUAAAUAUCGGCAACAUACUAAUGCACAGAUUUAUAACACUAGAAUUAACUUUAAAGGUCUUCAGGAACAAAAGUAUUUUGAUAUUAUAAAAAGACAGGCUGAAAAGAUUCAAGAAAUGGCUGCUGUAAUGGAAAGGGCUGCAAAAGUUGAUGAAGAGAGGGACUAUAAGGAAGGAGAAGUGAUGAAAAAAUUAUUAAUAGAAAAUAAGGGCCUAAGAGAAAUGUUAGAGAUAUCAUGCAAUUAUGGAUCAUACAACAAACCUUUAACGAAUACAACAGAAGACAAAUUUGUUCAAACAGAAAACCAAAUUAGUUGAGUUUUGAAAUCAUUGAGGAAUUAUUGGAGAUCUGAACAGUUUGAGUCUCAAAAGAAAUAUUAAAAACCAAAAUCAUCGAAUUCCAAAGAUACUAUUAUCGAGUACCAGAUGAAUUAAAAUUUAGGGCAAUCAACUUCUCAGAAUCUUCUAGGAACUAGUAUCUCGAAAAACGCCUUCACCUUAAUACCCUAAGUUAUUUUAGUAAUCAAUUAAGGGAAGGAAAGAGUAGCAAUAUAUGAAGAUGCAGCAUUAAUUAAGAAGCCAAUUAAACUCAUUACAGUACAA